AUGUCAUGCUUGGCCGUGGCACUUCAGGACAGAYCUCCCGGCUACCCUGAGCCAGCGGCCGGCCGGGGGCCGAGCGGAGCCGGGGCGCCGAGCGGAGCCGGGCGCCGAGCCUCUGCCCACGCAGCCGCCGGAGGGGCCGCUUACCGCUCGCACCGCCUCCCGAGCGGGCAGGAAAGGGCAGGCUGCUCGCCGCGGGCAGUUCCUCCCCUCCUGCGAGCCCACGCUGGCGCAGGGCGAGCCCAAGCCCUGCUUCAGGAGUCCCUCUGCGGCGGGGCGCUCGGCGGGGCCCUCGUGAGGCGGCAGCGACCCGCUCGCGUGAGGCGGCAGCGACCCGCUCGCGUGAGGCGAAUCGGCCGCCGAGCGCCGCCGCGCGCGGGACGGUGGCGGUCCCUCCUCAGCGCCGAGCCCCGGCGCUCUCCCCUGGAGCUACCAUACGAAGUGCGCAAAGGGGGUGUAAAAGCAACCCCUUCCCUCCUUCGUUCACCCCCCAGCCCCACUGCCUGCGGAGCCGGUUCCGAAGGCGGCAGCACCCCCCCCCCCUUACCUGCAGGUGAGAGCAGCUCGCCUUCGCUGAGCUCCCCGGAGUCCGAGUCCAUGCUGCAGGUACCGGCGGGGAAGGGGCCGAGGGGGCGCUGGGAGAGGGCGGCGUGCGGCCGGCCGCCGCUAGCAGCAGCAGGGGUGCCCGGAGCAGGGAGCGAGCGACGAGCAGAGCCUGCUGCCGCCUCCUCCUCCUCCUCCUCCUCCUCCUCCUCCUCUCCUCCCAGCCUGGGCGCUGGGUCCGUGCCACCACAUGCAGCCACCUCGCUUAGUGCCAUUGGCUGCAAAGGAGGAGCGGAGACUGGCGGGCCCCGCCGGGGGGAGGAGGGAGCGGGGGCGCGGCGGGGGAGCGGUUUCUCUCCCGAGCUCCUUACACAAGUUCAUCUCGACACCGGCUGCCUCUUCGCCGGCUGCUCUGGCCGCACGCUGCGGCUGGCUGCCGCGCCGGGAAGCGGGCUCGCGGGCUGCGCGGCUGCGGCGGUACCGCGGGGCUGCCGGCCGGCCGGGCGGGAGUGCGCGGCCUCCCCACGCGUGGCAGCUCCAGGCUGGCUCCUGAAAGUGGGCUUCGCAGCGCGGAAAGGACCGAAGCGACAGUCCUUCACACUCAGAAAUGGGCCUCCUUUGCUGUUUCCUUCUCUCCCGGCCCCACGCAGCUCGUGGGGCUUGAGGCUGCCCUUAUGUCUUCCUUUUUCCCUAUUUCUUUUCCACCGUCUCUCUUUCUGA
Molecule: long non-coding RNA, 1260 nt
Filed under: Apteryx haastii (Great spotted kiwi)
Lineage: Eukaryota; Metazoa; Chordata; Aves; Apterygiformes; Apterygidae
Description: lncRNA (ENSAHAG00000002637.1)
Source: RNAcentral